Long non-coding RNA from Neofelis nebulosa (Clouded leopard), 813 nucleotides. RefSeq lists it as uncharacterized. NCBI's taxonomy places the organism in Eukaryota, Metazoa, Chordata, Mammalia, Carnivora, Felidae. The record is from RefSeq and is a predicted model, not a curated record. The transcript is spliced from 2 exons.
GCUCCCCCAGGCGCACCUUCCCCUCCAGCCACCCCAGACCCUGGCUUUCUGUUCCCCCAGAGCAUCCUGUCCUGUUCCCACAGGGCCUUGGCAUGUGCUCUCUCCGCCUUAGGAUGCCCUCACCCUUGGUUUCCCUCGCUGGGUCCUGUGUUCAGGGUCCGUCCGUGGGGCAGCGCGUGUCGGCGACUCGCUCCCGUUCGGGGCCGAGUGACGUUCCGUGAAAUGGAUGGCGAUCAUCUGUUGAUGGACAUCUGGGUUGUUCCCACUUUUGGUUACGGGAAGUGUCCAUAACGUAUGGAUGACAGCCUCACUCUCCAGUCCCACCAGCUGUGUGUGAGGGUUCUGACUUCUCCAUGUCCUGGACGUUACUUGUCACCGUGUGUCUGCUUGAUUCUAGCCGUCCUCGUGGGCGUGAAGUGGUGUCUUGCUGGGGUUUUGAUUUGUGUUUCCUGAUGAUCAGUGACGCGGAGCACGUGUUCCUGGGCUUGCUGGCCAUCUGUACGUCCUCCUGCGGAGAAAGCUUUCUGGUUCCAUCCGCUCUGUGGGCUUAGAUUUCUGCUGCGUCUCGUGUUCCGAGUGCAUACGGUGUGAGGUAGGGCCCGACGUCCCUCCUCGUGUGUGGAAACCCAGUUGUCCCAGAGCCGCCGGCCGGGAAUGUGCAUGUUUAGUUCUGGAUUCCCACCGAUGUAUCCUGGGCCAUUCCGGGGCGUCCAGACGGGCGUCCCCGUCUAUCUGCGCCCGGACCACAUUGCCUUGAUUACCGAGGCUUUGCAGCCCGUUUUGAAAUGGGGAAACGUGAAUCUUCCAACUCUG